RNAcentral lists this ribosomal RNA (318 nucleotides) under uncultured bacterium. RNAcentral describes it as "bacterial SSU rRNA". It matches the Rfam family "Bacterial small subunit ribosomal RNA", at positions 32 to 342 of the family's 1533-position model. The record is from RNAcentral.
AAUCAACGCUGGCGGCGUGCCUCAGACAUGCAAGUCGAACGAUUAAAGCUCUCUUCGGAGAGUGCAUAAAGUGGCGCACGGGUGAGUAACACGUAAGUAAUCUAACCUUCGAGUGGGGAAUAACGUCCGGAAACGGACGCUAAUACCGCAUAAUGCAGCGGCAUCGCAAGAUGACAGUUGUUAAAGAUUUAUCGCUUGAAGAGGAGCUUGCGGCAGAUAGCUAGUUGGUAAGGUAAUGGCUUACCAAGGCUACGAUCUGUAACCGGUCUAAGAGGACGGUCGGUCACACUGACACUGAAUAACGGGUCAGACUCCUAC